This is a long non-coding RNA of Aricia agestis (brown argus), 189 nucleotides long. RefSeq lists it as uncharacterized. The record is from RefSeq and is a predicted model, not a curated record. The transcript has 3 exons. NCBI's taxonomy places the organism in Eukaryota, Metazoa, Arthropoda, Insecta, Lepidoptera, Lycaenidae.
UGUAAAGAGGCCUUUUUUGUGUAAAAUAAAAUUACCUUUUUUGUUUAUUUAAACUUUUUUUUUGUAAAAUGUAUCGUUCGCGACUUAUAUGCCGCAACGCGUUUUUCGGAAGACGAAAUGGCUCAUCCACACUUCCGGUCAUGAGGAAACCGGCAGAUUUUGUAUUUUUAACGUCUUAUAAUUCGUAUG